This is a long non-coding RNA of Hemicordylus capensis (graceful crag lizard), 1057 nucleotides long. RefSeq lists it as uncharacterized. The record is from RefSeq and is a predicted model, not a curated record. Lineage: Eukaryota; Metazoa; Chordata; Lepidosauria; Squamata; Cordylidae. The transcript has 3 exons.
UGCGAUUAAGGCUUGUUGAGGGGGAGGGAGCAGAAAAUGCUGAGCCAGAAAUUCCUUCUCUCCACCUCAGCCAGCCUCGCCGUCCUUCAUGUUCGAGGAACAUAACAAGCCAGCCAGCCUCGCCCAGCUCAGAGAAGAGGGAACGGCGGGCGGUGCGGUGUUCUGUGACUGAGCAUCUGAAAAUGAUUUCCAUUUCCAAGAAGCGAUUGCUACAGGUCUGGUCUGCAGGGGGCCAUCGCAAAGGAGGGAACCUGCUUUGCACACAGAACGUCGCAGGUUCAAUCUCUGGCAUCCCCAAAUAAAGGAGUUUGCAGGACCGACCCAAGGACAAAGCUAUUGAGAGGUCCAAGCUAUAAAAGCCGAGCUUACAAAGGGACUGUCUCAACCCUGGUGCUGAGGGGAGAACAUAUACAAUCAGCAGGAGGAAUGAUGGCUGGAUUUUAAAGGGCCUGUCCAUCAGAGGGAAUUCCCUUCAAUGAAUGUGUGCAAUGUGUUCUAGCGCACACAGGUGUCUCGGCCCAGUGUACACGACUGAUAUAUGUGCACGCCUCUUGCUGACAGACGGAACAGACCCCAAAGGGCUUCUCGACAGCAAGGCUUUCAGUUAUAAAGCAGGCCUUGUUUUUCAUAAUGUAACCAUAAGCCGUCAGUUUCCCUGUUUCCUUUGCUCCCUCGGCAAUAAGCCAAGCUAUGUCGAAAGGCAUAUUUGUCACGUCUCAGCCAGUUUCUCUGCGAAACUGGCACAGGUCAGGCUAGUUACCUAAUUUAUAUGGCAGGAAUGAAUAAACAGCAUUUUGGCUGGCCUCGCUGAAAGGCCUGUUCCACACUGAGCCACAGUCUCCAGCAAGGCAGAAUCUGGGAGGGACGUCUACUGCCCUGCGCAUAGGAGCAAGACCUCCUGGUGUCUUUGACACCAUCAUUUGCCCGCACAAGGGCAUUAUAUUUGAAUAGAGCCUACAUCCAUACAGUCUGAUGUGCAUGGGGAAUGUCCAGGGUCCAUUUCAGCUUGGGUUUUUUACUUGUUUAAUUUUGUUAAUUUUAUUAGUCUGUUUUUAUA